This 1443-nucleotide ribosomal RNA is filed under the name uncultured Porphyromonadaceae bacterium. RNAcentral's name for it is "16S ribosomal RNA". It matches the Rfam family "Bacterial small subunit ribosomal RNA". Lineage: Bacteria; Pseudomonadati; Bacteroidota; Bacteroidia; Bacteroidales; Porphyromonadaceae. The record is from RNAcentral.
GAUGAACGCUAGCGAUAGGCUUAACACAUGCAAGUCGAGGGGCAGCACGCUUUCGGGUGGUGGCGACCGGCGCACGGGUGAGUAACACGUAUGCAACCUACCCAUAACACGGGGAUAACCUGCGGAAACGCGGACUAAUACCCGAUAAGACAGGGACACCGCAUGGUGAUAUUUGUUAAAGAUUCAUUGGUUUUGGAUGGGCCUGCGUUGGAUUAGCUAGUUGGUAGGGUAACGGCCUACCAAGGCAACGAUCCAUAGGGGAACUGAGAGGUUUAUCCCCCACACUGGUACUGAGACACGGACCAGACUCCUACGGGAGGCAGCAGUGAGGAAUAUUGGUCAAUGGGCGAGAGCCUGAACCAGCCAAGUCGCGUGAAGGAAGACGGUAUUAUGUAUUGUAAACUUCUUUUAUAGGGGAAUAAAGUGCGGGAUGUAUCCUGUUUUGUAUGUACCCUGUGAAUAAGCAUCGGCUAACUCCGUGCCAGCAGCCGCGGUAAUACGGAGGAUGCGAGCGUUAUCCGGAUUUAUUGGGUUUAAAGGGUGCGUAGGUGGGCUGAUUAGUCAGCGGUGAAAUUCCCGGUGCUUAACAUNGGAAUUGCCGUUGAAAACUGUCAGUCUUGAGUUUGGCGUGGGUAUGCGGAAUUCGUAGUGUAGCGGUGAAAUGCAUAGAUAUUACGAAGAACACCGAUAGCGCAGGCAGCAUACCAUACCACAACUGACACUGAUGCACGAAAGUGUGGGUAUCAAACAGGAUUAGAUACCCUGGUAGUCCACACAGUAAACGAUGAAUACUAGGUGUUUGCGAUAUACCGUAAGCGCCCGAGCGAAAGCGUUAAGUAUUCCACCUGGGGAGUACGCCGGCAACGGUGAAACUCAAAGGAAUUGACGGGGGCCCGCACAAGCCGAGGAACAUGUGGUUUAAUUCGAUGAUACGCGAGGAACCUUACCCGGGCUCGAACGGCAGAUGAAUGAUCUGGAAACAGGCAGUCCUUCGGGACAUCUGUCGAGGUGCUGCAUGGUUGUCGUCAGCUCGUGCCGUGAGGUGUCGGCUUAAGUGCCAUAACGAGCGCAACCCUUACCGUCAGUUACCAUCGGAUUAUGCCGGGGACUUUGGCGGGACUGCCACCGUAAGGUGUGAGGAAGGUGGGGAUGACGUCAAAUCAGCACGGCCCUUACGUCCGGGGCUACACACGUGUUGCAAUGGAAGGGACAGCGGGGAGCUACACAGCGAUGUGAUGCGAAUCCCGAAACCCUUUCCCAGUUCGGAUCGGAGUCUGCAACCCGACUCCGUGAAGCUGGAUUCGCUAGUAAUCGCGCAUCAGCCAUGGCGCGGUGAAUACGUUCCCGGGCCUUGUACACACCGCCCGUCGAGCCAUGGAAGCCGGGGGUACCUGAAGUACGUAACCGCAAGGAUCGUCCUAGGGUAAAACCGGUAACUGGGGC